AAAUUCACUUAGAUGUUAGUGGCACUUGUCCACAACAUAAUACUACUCAUGUUGUAUGACAUUCACCGAAGAUCGCUCUCGGUUGGACUAUCAUUUAUUUUGAAUAAACACAAGUCCGAAUAAUUUGCAAAAGGUUUCAAAGAAUUCAAGAAAUGUAAGUUGAUGAGUAAGAUGUCUAAAGUAUUUACCUCCUUAGAUUUGAUCCAAGGAAAGGUAACACUUUAGAACAGUUUCCUUGAAAGAUAUCAAGGAAAUAACCAUCAUAAGAUAAUGGAUUUCUCCAUUAAGAGAAGAACGAACUCAAAUAAGAUUUAGUUCGUUGGAUGUUAUC
RNAcentral lists this long non-coding RNA (331 nucleotides) under Malus domestica (apple). RNAcentral describes it as "long non-coding RNA (MDOM_LNC017992)". The record is from RNAcentral. Lineage: Eukaryota; Viridiplantae; Streptophyta; Magnoliopsida; Rosales; Rosaceae.